This 425-nucleotide ribosomal RNA is filed under the name uncultured bacterium. Its description in RNAcentral is "partial 16S ribosomal RNA". It matches the Rfam family "Bacterial small subunit ribosomal RNA", at positions 354 to 796 of the family's 1533-position model. The record is from RNAcentral.
GUGGGGAAUAUUGCACAAUGGGGGAAACCCUGAUGCAGCGACGCCGCGUGAAGGAAGAAGUAUCUCGGUAUGUAAACUUCUAUCAGCAGGGAAGAUAGUGACGGUACCUGACUAAGAAGCCCCGGCUAACUACGUGCCAGCAGCCGCGGUAAUACGUAGGGGGCAAGCGUUAUCCGGAUUUACUGGGUGUAAAGGGAGCGUAGACGGUGUGGCAAGUCUGAUGUGAAAGGCAUGGGCUCAACCUGUGGACUGCAUUGGAAACUGUCAUACUUGAGUGCCGGAGGGGUAAGCGGAAUUCCUAGUGUAGCGGUGAAAUGCGUAGAUAUUAGGAGGAACACCAGUGGCGAAGGCGGCUUACUGGACGGUAACUGACGUUGAGGCUCGAAAGCGUGGGGAGCAAACAGGAUUAGAUACCCCUGUAGUCC